Molecule: ribosomal RNA, 490 nt
Filed under: uncultured bacterium
Lineage: Bacteria
Description: partial 16S ribosomal RNA
Rfam family: Bacterial small subunit ribosomal RNA
Source: RNAcentral
AUUGAACGCUGGCGGCAGGCCUAACACAUGCAAGUCGAACGGUAACAGGAAACAGCUUGCUGUUUCGCUGACGAGUGGCGGACGGGUGAGUAAUGUCUGGGAAACUGCCUGAUGGAGGGGGAUAACUACUGGAAACGGUAGCUAAUACCGCAUAACGUCGCAAGACCAAAGAGGGGGACCUUCGGGCCUCUUGCCAUCGGAUGUGCCCAGAUGGGAUUAGCUAGUAGGUGGGGUAACGGCUCACCUAGGUGACGAUCCCUAGCUGGUCUGAGAGGAUGACCAGCCACACUGGAACUGAGACACGGUCCAGACUCCUACGGGAGGCAGCAGUGGGGAAUAUUGCACAAUGGGCGCAAGCCUGAUGCAGCCAUGCCGCGUGUAUGAAGAAGGCCUUCGGGUUGUAAAGUACUUUCAGCGGGGAGGAAGGGAGUAAAGUUAAUACCUUUACUCAUUGACGUUACCCGCAGAAGAAGCACCGGCUAACUCCGUG